Molecule: long non-coding RNA, 582 nt
Organism: Cyprinus carpio (common carp)
Lineage: Eukaryota; Metazoa; Chordata; Actinopteri; Cypriniformes; Cyprinidae
Source: Ensembl
GCUAUACUACAACAGUAUAAACUUUAAAACUUUGUGAGAUGGCAGAUUCUGGUCUAUCAGAAAAAGCACUUAUCACCGAGAGUGUGGAGACCAUUCGUACUACCUCAGUGUUCACGGACCCUUAUGAACGCUCUGUUAACUAUAUGGAGACUCACAGUAUUCUUCAGAUUUUUCAGGUGCAAAUGAAGAUCAAAGUCCGUGAUGAGUCAAGCAACACAUUUGUGAAAUCAUGAUGAAUUCUAAAGCAAAGUAACAAGGGCUUUGCAACAAAUGGAAUCCAAGGUUAUUCUUUUAUUUAUACAAUUCUUUAAAUAAGGUAUUGAAUGCUGUCAUCCCGUGACUCUGCAUUGUUGUUUCCAAGCAACUGUCUUCAGAUGUUCUUUUUUUUUUUGUUCCAAAUUUACCAUGUUUUGCCACAAUUUUGAGACCUUAUUAGCAUUCAUUUUCAGUCAAACAGCGCUGAAAUAUUAAUAAUGUAGUUUGUGAGGGUCUUUGACCUAAAUAUCUCAAUGAACACACUUAAGUGGCAAGUUAGAGCUAUUAAAUGUGGCAAAAAAAAUAAAUAAAUAAAUACAGUUAACA